RNAcentral lists this small nuclear RNA (316 nucleotides) under Dasypus novemcinctus (nine-banded armadillo). Its description in RNAcentral is "7SK RNA (ENSDNOG00000038996.1)". It matches the Rfam family "7SK RNA". Rfam says of the family: 7SK was discovered as an abundant small nuclear RNA in the mid-70s but a possible function has only recently been suggested. Lineage: Eukaryota; Metazoa; Chordata; Mammalia; Cingulata; Dasypodidae. The record is from RNAcentral.
GGAUGUGAGGGCGAUCUGGCUGCGACAUCUGUCACCCCAUUGAUCGCCAGGGUUGAUUCGGCUGAUCUGGCUGGCUAGGCGGGUGUCCCCUUCUUCCCUCACUGCUCCAUGUGCGUCCCUCCCGAAGCUGUGCGCUUGGUCGAAGAGGACGACCUUCCCUGCUAGAGGAGGACUGUUCUUCGGUCAAGGGUAUACGAGUAGCUGCGCUCCCCUGCUAGAACCUCCAAACAAACUCUCAAAGGGAACUAGAGUAAACUUUACAAUGGAAAAACCUGACAGAACACCAUCUUAAUCAAGUGAUCAAGUGCCAUCAGUA